This 485-nucleotide ribosomal RNA is filed under the name uncultured bacterium. Its description in RNAcentral is "bacterial SSU rRNA". It matches the Rfam family "Bacterial small subunit ribosomal RNA", at positions 28 to 507 of the family's 1533-position model. The record is from RNAcentral.
GAUGAACGCUAGCGGGAGGCUUAACACAUGCAAGUCGAGGGGCAGCAUAGGGUAGCAAUACUCUGAUGGCGACCGGCAAACGGGUGAGUAACGCGUAUGCAACCUACCCUGUACAGGGGGAUAACCCGGAGAAAUUCGGACUAAUAUCCCGUAAUAAUAUCCGGAGGCAUCUUUGGAUAUUUAAAGUUUCGACGGUACGGGAUGGGCAUGCGUAACAUUAGCUGGUUGGUAAGGUAACGGCUUACCAAGGCUAUGAUGUUUAGGGGUCCUGAGAGGGUGGUCCCCCACACUGGUACUGAGACACGGACCAGACUCCUACGGGAGGCAGCAGUGAGGAAUAUUGGUCAAUGGGCGCAAGCCUGAACCAGCCAUCCCGCGUGCAGGAAGACGGCCCUAUGGGUUGUAAACUGCUUUUCCAGGGAGAGAAACUUACGCACGUGUUGCGUGACUGACGGUACCCUGGAAUAACAUCGGCUAACUCCGUG